AUGGUAGGCCUGCAGUCGACGAUUCGCGGCCUAUCAGCUUGUUGGCGGGGUAACGGCCCACCAAGGCGACGACGGGUAGCCGGCCUGAGAGGGCGACCGGCCACACUGGAACUGAGACACGGUCCAGACUCCUACGGGAGGCAGCAGUGGGGAAUAUUGCACAAAGGGCGAAAGCCUGAUGCAGCAACGCCGCGUGGGGGAUGAAGGCCUUCGGGUUGUAAACCCCUUUCAGUAGGGAAGAAGCGAAAGUGACGGUACCUGCAGAAGAAGCGCCGGCUAACUACGUGCCAGCAGCCGCGGUAAUACGUAGGGCGCAAGCGUUGUCCGGAAUUAUUGGGCGUAAAGAGCUCGUAGGCGGUUUGUCGCGUCUGCUGUGAAAACCCGAGGCUCAACCUCGGGCCUGCAGUGGGUACGGGCAGACUAGAGUGUGGUAGGGGAGAUUGGAAUUCCUGGUGUAGCGGUAAAAUGCGCAGAUAUCAGGAGGAACACCUAUGGCGAAGGCAGAUCUCUGGGCCACAACUGACGCUGAGGAGCGAAAGCGUGGGGAGCAAACAGGAUUAGAUACCCUGGUAGUCCACGCCGUAAACGGUGGGCACUAGACGUGGGGCUCAUUCCACGAGUUCCGCGUCGCAGCUAACGCAUUAAGUGCCCCGCCUGGGGAGUACGGAAU
RNAcentral lists this ribosomal RNA (670 nucleotides) under uncultured bacterium. RNAcentral describes it as "bacterial SSU rRNA". It matches the Rfam family "Bacterial small subunit ribosomal RNA", at positions 202 to 888 of the family's 1533-position model. The record is from RNAcentral.